UACGGGGGGAGCAAGCGUUGUUCGGAUUUACUGGGCGUAAAGGGCGCGUAGGCGGUCAGCACAAGUCAGUUGUGAAAUCUCCGGGCUUAACUCGGAAAGGUCAACUGAUACUGUGCGACUAGAGUGCGGAAGGGGCAACUGGAAUUCUCGGUGUAGCGGUGAAAUGCGUAGAUAUCGGGAGGAACACCUGUGGCGAAAGCGGCUCACUGGACCACAACUGACGCUGAGGAGCGAAAGCGUGGGGAGCGAACAGG
RNAcentral lists this ribosomal RNA (254 nucleotides) under uncultured bacterium. RNAcentral describes it as "partial 16S ribosomal RNA". It matches the Rfam family "Bacterial small subunit ribosomal RNA", at positions 524 to 776 of the family's 1533-position model. The record is from RNAcentral.